UACGGGGGGGGCAAGCGUUGUUCGGAAUUACUGGGCGUAAAGGGCUCGUAGGCGGCCAACUAAGUCGGACGUGAAAUCCCCAGGCUCAACCUGGGAACUGCGUCCGAUACUGGAUGGCUUGAAUUCGGGAGAGGGAUGCAGAAUUCCAGGUGUAGCGGUGAAAUGCGUAGAUAUCUGGAGGAACACCGGUGGUGAAGGCGGCUUCCUGGUCCAGCACCGACGUUCAGGCACGAAAGCGUGGGGAGCAAACAGG
RNAcentral lists this ribosomal RNA (253 nucleotides) under uncultured bacterium. RNAcentral's name for it is "partial 16S ribosomal RNA". It matches the Rfam family "Bacterial small subunit ribosomal RNA", at positions 524 to 776 of the family's 1533-position model. The record is from RNAcentral.